This 465-nucleotide ribosomal RNA is filed under the name Vreelandella stevensii. Its description in RNAcentral is "partial 16S ribosomal RNA". It matches the Rfam family "Bacterial small subunit ribosomal RNA", at positions 338 to 795 of the family's 1533-position model. Lineage: Bacteria; Pseudomonadati; Pseudomonadota; Gammaproteobacteria; Oceanospirillales; Halomonadaceae. The record is from RNAcentral.
CCUACGGGGUGCAGCAGUGGGGAAUAUUGGACAAUGGGCGAAAGCCUGAUCCAGCCAUGCCGCGUGUGUGAAGAAGGCCUUCGGGUUGUAAAGCACUUUCAGUGGGGAAGAAAGCCUUGGGGCUAAUACCCUCGAGGAAGGACAUCACCCACAGAAGAAGCACCGGCUAACUCCGUGCCAGCAGCCGCGGUAAUACGGAGGGGGCGAGCGUUAAUCGGAAUUACUGGGCGUAAAGCGCGCGUAGGCGGUCUGAUAAGCCGGUUGUGAAAGCCCCGGGCUCAACCUGGGAACGGCAUCCGGAACUGUCAGGCUAGAGUGCAGGAGAGGAAGGUAGAAUUCCCGGUGUAGCGGUGAAAUGCGUAGAGAUCGGGAGGAAUACCAGUGGCGAAGGCGGCCUUCUGGACUGACACUGACGCUGAGGUGCGAAAGCGUGGGUAGCAAACAGGAUUAGAUACCCCGGUAGUC